GGGGGCAUAGCUCAGUUGGGAGAGCAGCAGACUGAAGUUGUCCAUUAUUCUGAAGGUCCCGCGUUCAAUCCGCGGUGCCCCCA
This is a non-coding RNA of Blastosporella zonata, 83 nucleotides long. The record is from the annotation of a GenBank genome assembly. Lineage: Eukaryota; Fungi; Basidiomycota; Agaricomycetes; Agaricales; Lyophyllaceae.